Molecule: non-coding RNA, 1031 nt
Organism: Microcebus murinus (gray mouse lemur)
Lineage: Eukaryota; Metazoa; Chordata; Mammalia; Primates; Cheirogaleidae
Source: RefSeq, a predicted model, not a curated record
AUAGCCGCCGGGGGCUACUCUAACGGGACCCCCUGGCCGCCGCGCGGUGCCGCCCCAGCCCCGGCCUCCGUCGCUCCGGGCCCCAGGGCCGCCCGGCCGGCGAGGGCGGCGAUGCGGGCGGAUUCCCCCCGGCUGCCCGGCGGCGGCGGCACUUCAGCUCCCAGCGGCGGCGGCGGCCAUGUUGGCCCUGAUCACGUGAUCCGCCGCCGCGCGCUAAGGGUGAAAGUUCACGAUGGGGGUGGGGGCGGCCGGACCGGGACCAGGAAACCGCGGCUUGUACUCCUGUAGCUAGCAGCUGGGGCCGUCCCUGGGUACCUCCCACCGCCGGUAAAGCCUACCCAACCCGGAUUUAGCGGCUACAAGGUCCUUCCACCGGCCUCCUCUCAGUGCCGGGCUUCUUAAGCCCCACACACCAGCCCCGGCUCCCGCAUCCGCCUCUCGCGCGGCUGUCUUGGGGUAGCGGCGCCGAGGUGGGCGCUUUGUCGGAAUUCCCAAUUGUCCUUGGGCAAUCUCACCGCAUGCUCCUAACAGUCGCCCCCACCCUCAGCCUUUGGCCCAUGCCCUGUAAUAACUUGAGGAUUCCCAACAUGCCAGCUACGUGCUGGACAUCCUCUGGAGCUCCCAAAGGUACAGAAGUGAGGCAUCUACUGUAUACCACUGCACUUAACCCCACCCCAACUGGGAUUUGAGUGUUAUCUGAGUUGGACCAGAAACCCAUGAUUGGCGCCUCUGCUGAGUGUGGGACAGGAAGAGUUAACAUGCUGACAGACGGCAUUUUUUACCUUCAGUCAAUAUGAACAAGGCCCCAAGACUAUGAUUCCAAACAUCUGGAUUUCAUCAAUAUGUGAUCUGUCAUCGUAUAUUGGCAUUCCCCAGUCCCCGCGCCAGAGCAAUGCGGCUGGUUUUAUUAAUACGUCAAAUACAUUAUCCGUGUAAUACACUUGUCUGGCUGGGGCCUCCCGCUGGGGCGGGGCGGCGGAUUUGAAUGUAUGAUGAAUCAGUUUGCAUUACAUGUUCGUAAGUCAUCAUUU